GUGGCACGCUUAACACAUGCAAGUCGGACGGCAGCAUGACCUAGCUUGCUAGGUUGAUGGCGAGUGGCGGACGGGUGAGUAAAGCGUAGGAACCUACCCUUGAGACGGGGACAACUUGGGGAAACUCGGGCUAAUACCGGAUAAGACCUUAGGGUGAAAGGGUGCGAAAGCACUCGCUGAAGGAUGGGCCUACGUUAGAUUAGCUAGAUGGUGAGGUAAAGGCUCACCAUGGCGACGAUCUAUAGCUGUUCUGAGAGGAGGACCAGCCACACUGGAACUGAGACACGGUCCAGACUCCUACGGGAGGCAGCAGUGGGAAAUUUUGGACAAUGGGCGCAAGCCUGAUCCAGCAAUGCCGCGUGCAGGAUGAAGGCCUUCGGGUUGUAAACUGCUUUUGUACAGAACGAAACGGCUCUUUCUAAUACAAGGGGCUAAUGACGGUACUGUAAGAAUAAGCACCGGCUAACUACGUGCCAGCCGCCGCCGUAA
This 489-nucleotide ribosomal RNA is filed under the name uncultured bacterium. RNAcentral's name for it is "partial 16S ribosomal RNA". It matches the Rfam family "Bacterial small subunit ribosomal RNA", at positions 39 to 523 of the family's 1533-position model. The record is from RNAcentral.